Molecule: small nuclear RNA, 111 nt
Organism: Cercocebus atys (sooty mangabey)
Lineage: Eukaryota; Metazoa; Chordata; Mammalia; Primates; Cercopithecidae
Source: Ensembl
GUGCUCACUUUGGCAGCACAUAUACUAAAAUUAGAAUGAUACAGAGAAGAUUAGCAUGGCUCCUGUCUGUGCAAGGAUGACACGCAAAUUCAUGAAAUGUUAUCUCUAUGU